GAGCACCGGAGCCCGACUGGGCUGAAUGGCAGGUCCUGACCAAGCCACCCGCGCGGCCCCGCCCGCCUGGCGGGAUGAGUGACGGCGGCAACAGUCUUCGGAAGUCGCCCGUCAACCGGCUUCUUCCACCUCAGUAAAGCCUUAAGGUCACCUCAACCUCUCGAAACCCACCAGUCCCAGAGGCCGAAUCUUCUCAAGUGGAGGAGAGGGGAAGGCGUGCAUGGAGCUUUGCCUGACCGCUCGCUCUCUCCUCCCCAGCCGUCUGAGAGAAGGCGAGAGGGGUCCCAGAACCGAGCCCUCGCUCCGCACGCCCCACGCCCGCCCCGCUGUGCCGUGCGCUCUGCCCCUGAGACGCCCCGGCUCGGAGUCCCAGGGCCACAGCGGAAACUCGCCCGCCCGCGCCCCUCUCCGGCUUGCGGCGCCCGCCCGCACCGCCACCUGCCACCCGAGGCGACGCAGUCCGCUUCUCCCCACCCGCCAGGUGGCAGGUUCAGGGCCCGGGUCCGAGCCUGCUCCCCUGCAGCUGCCACCGCCAUCCUCGCCGCCAGGGGGCGAGAGUCCCAGGCAGGACAAG
Molecule: small RNA, 574 nt
Filed under: Pongo abelii (Sumatran orangutan)
Lineage: Eukaryota; Metazoa; Chordata; Mammalia; Primates; Hominidae
Description: processed transcript
Source: RNAcentral